RNAcentral lists this ribosomal RNA (211 nucleotides) under uncultured Glomus. RNAcentral describes it as "partial 18S ribosomal RNA". The stretch from base 31 to 211 matches the Rfam family "Eukaryotic small subunit ribosomal RNA", at positions 607 to 791 of the family's 1831-position model. Lineage: Eukaryota; Fungi; Glomeromycota; Glomeromycetes; Glomerales; Glomeraceae. The record is from RNAcentral.
CGGGGGGGGAAUCAGCUCAUAGCGUAUAUUAAGUUGCUGCAGUUAAAAAGCUCGUAGUUGAAUUUCGGGACCAUCAUGUCGGUCGUGCCUCGGUACGUACUGGGAUUGUCGGUUUCUCCCUUCUGACGAACCAUGAUGUCAUUUAUUUGGGGGUGGGGGGAAUCAGGACUGGUACUUUGAAAAAAUUAAAGUGGUUAAAGCAGGCAACCCA